CAUCAUCAGCACUUUCAUAGUUAUAAUCUCUGGCUUUAUUAGUGAAGAAUAACACGGACUUCGGGACCAGAACUUCACGGAAAAAAUAGCCCAACUUAUAAUCGGUGGCAACAUCCAUCUCUCUGCCCUCAGGAGAAUCAGGAGGAUAGAAGUAGAUGAAGAAAGAAUAGCCAGGCAUCUUCCUGGUGAUGGAUGCAAAACUUUUGCGGCCCUCACCUCUCUGCAGCUUGCUAGUUUUCACGGUGACAUCUUUCCCCUCUUUCCAGUAGAUCUUAUACCCUGUGCUACUGAUAAUUUCUGGCCCUUUGGAGAAGAAGGGAUCAGAAUCACCUGGGUCUGAUCGCAGUUGGUGCUCUAGUACAAGCUCAUCACUUUUUUGGAUCAUCCUGCUGAGGAUCUUCACGUUUUAAAAAGCUGUCAACCAAAAGUGAGACAUAGCAAUAAGGAUGCUCCAGUCUAUGUUUGGGCCUGAGUGCUGACCUGGUUGCUGUGAUGACUUUGGUGAAGAUGGCAACUACCAAGAUGGCUGUUUCCUAGGAGAACCUAUUGACUGAAGGGCCUGCCUACAGGCAGUGGGGUCAACAAAGAAGAUGGAUGCAGAGUGCACAACAGUCUUUAAAGGUGUGAAAGCCCUACCACAGAAAGGGCAGGAGGCCUGCUGGAGGAGGGGUCAACUAAGACUGCACUUGAGAUGGCAUUGGAAGGUGAUAAAAAUCAGGUGGGUAGAUGAAAAGAAGCAGAACUUGGAAGGGUCAACAAAGGGCCCCUCUGUCAUUGCAAGCUCUACAUUCAUUUACUGGGAAGUGAGAAUUGAUGUGCCUGGUGCCCCGUGAGUGAUCAAAGCCCUUUGAUUUUCGUCUCAAAAUCCUCGUAUAUGAGACCAUAGAGGUCUGGGUUAUUUUUAAGCUCAUGCAAAUCCCAUCCAUUUAACGCCACUAUUUUCAGAAAACUAUAGAGCUCCAGUAUGACUGUCUUCUGUGUCAUUGGAACUGUGAUACCCACCCCUACUCCCCAUUUUUCAUCUAGGGACAGCUCAUGUCAGUAGAAUGGAGCCUUAAAGAAUUGUACAGCUCAGCAGUGUUAAAAAUCUCCAAGAAGAGAGAUAGAAAAAAU
This is a long non-coding RNA of Canis lupus familiaris (dog), 1113 nucleotides long. RefSeq lists it as uncharacterized. The record is from RefSeq and is a predicted model, not a curated record. The transcript has 3 exons. Lineage: Eukaryota; Metazoa; Chordata; Mammalia; Carnivora; Canidae.